AGGAUGAACGCUGGCGGCGUGCUUAACACAUGCAAGUCGAACGAUGAUCCCAGCUUGCUGGGGGAUUAGUGGCGAACGGGUGAGUAACACGUGAGUAACCUGCCCUUGACUCUGGGAUAAGCCUGGGAAACCGGGUCUAAUACUGGAUAUGACCUUCUGGCGCAUGCCAUGUUGGUGGAAAGCUUUAUUGCGGUUUUGGAUGGACUCGCGGCCUAUCAGCUUGUUGGUGGGGUAAUGGCCUACCAAGGCGACGACGGGUAGCCGGCCUGAGAGGGUGGACGGCCACACUGGGACUGAGACACGGCCCAGACUCCUACGGGAGGCAGCAGUGGGGAAUAUUGCACAAGUGGGCGCAAGCCUGAUGGCAGCGACGCCGCGGUGGGGGAUGAAGGCCUUCGGGUUGUAAACCUCUUCAGGUAGGAAGAAGCGAAAGUGACGUACCUGCAGAAGAGCGCCGGAUAACGUACGUG
RNAcentral lists this ribosomal RNA (470 nucleotides) under uncultured soil bacterium. Its description in RNAcentral is "bacterial SSU rRNA". It matches the Rfam family "Bacterial small subunit ribosomal RNA", at positions 26 to 507 of the family's 1533-position model. The record is from RNAcentral.